UGUGCCCUCUAGAGAUUUAAGAAGGUAAGAUUGGACAAUCAAUGUGCCCUCUAGAGAUUUAAGAAGGUAAGAUUGGACAAUCAAUGUGCCCUCUAGAGAUUUAAGAAGGUAAGAUUGGACAAUCAAUGUGCCCUCUAGAGAUUUAAGAAGGUAAGAUUGGACAAUCAAUGUGCCCUCUAGAGAUUUAAGAAGGUAAGAUUGGACAAUCAAUGUGCCCUCUAGAGAUUUAAGAAGGUAAGAUUGGACAAUCAAUGUGCCCUCUAGAGAUUUAAGAAGGUAAGAUUGGACAAUCAAUGAGCCCUCUAGAGAUUUAAGAAGGUUAGAUUGGACAAUCAAUGUGUCCUCUAGAGAUUUAAGAAGGUAAAUGUUGACUGACGACAGCACACCAUGAGCACGUUGUUCUCAGGUGAGCUAAAAAUGAAGAAAAGGAAAACGAAACACUGGUGCAGUUUUAAGAACAACAAGU
Molecule: long non-coding RNA, 466 nt
Organism: Dreissena polymorpha
Lineage: Eukaryota; Metazoa; Mollusca; Bivalvia; Myida; Dreissenidae
Exons: 2
Source: RefSeq, a predicted model, not a curated record